RNAcentral lists this ribosomal RNA (666 nucleotides) under Anthracoidea karii. RNAcentral's name for it is "LSU rRNA". It matches the Rfam family "Eukaryotic large subunit ribosomal RNA", at positions 80 to 639 of the family's 3401-position model. The record is from RNAcentral. Lineage: Eukaryota; Fungi; Basidiomycota; Ustilaginomycetes; Ustilaginales; Anthracoideaceae.
CUAAUAACGGCGAGUGAAGAGGGAAGAGCCCAAGAUUGAAAGCUGGCGUCAUUCACUGGCGUUCCGCAUUGUAAUCUCAAGAAGCGUUCAUCCGCUACGGACCAGGUCCAAUUCUCUUGGAAAAGAGCGUCAUGGAGGGUGAAAAUCCCGUGUAUGACCUGGAGCCGCCGUAGUACUGCGAUGCGUUUUUUCUCAGAGUCGAGUUGUUUGAGAAUGCAGCUCAAAAUGGGUGGUAAAUGCCAUCUAAGGCUAAAUACAGGGGAGAGACCGAUAGCAAACAAGUACCGUGAGGGAAAGAUGCCAAGAACUUUGGAAAGAGAGUUAAACAGUACGUGAAAUUGCCAGAAGGGAAGGGUAGGAAGUCAGAGAUGCGGAGAGGUCGCUCAGCCGGAUGUUUGUAGUGGGCAUGCGGUGUAAGCGACCGAUCGGCAGGUCAACGUCGGUUCUGUGGGCGCGGGAAAGCGGGGCCGGGCCAUGUGGCAUUUCUUCGGAAGUGUGAUUAUAGACCGGCCUUUUGAGUCUGGACCAGCGACGGGAGCCGUAGUUUAGCAGCAUGAUGCUUCCGUGUUCUUUGUCGGAGGAGGGCGUGAAAACCUUUUUCCGGAGGGGCGCGGAGGUGUUAGGUCUUCGGGCACUAUUCAUGCUGAUGGCGUUGACUGAAUGGCU